UAAGCAGGAAUGAUGAUGGGAUCCAGGUGCUCAGCUGGAUUAUUUGGUCUUUAGUGUAUGGACAGAUGUCCUGCACUCUUUUUAUAUGAUUCUUGGGGUGAUUAUUAUAAAAUA
Long non-coding RNA from Octodon degus (degu), 114 nucleotides. RefSeq lists it as uncharacterized. The record is from RefSeq and is a predicted model, not a curated record. NCBI's taxonomy places the organism in Eukaryota, Metazoa, Chordata, Mammalia, Rodentia, Octodontidae. The transcript is spliced from 3 exons.